GAGGAUAUAGCUCAAGCGGCAGAGUGCAUGAUUAGCAGGCACGAGGUCUUGGGUUCAAUCCCCAGUAUCUCCA
Molecule: transfer RNA, 73 nt
Filed under: Camelus bactrianus (Bactrian camel)
Lineage: Eukaryota; Metazoa; Chordata; Mammalia; Artiodactyla; Camelidae
Also listed under: 2 other names
Rfam family: tRNA
About the family: Transfer RNA (tRNA) molecules are approximately 80 nucleotides in length. Their secondary structure includes four short double-helical elements and three loops (D, anti-codon, and T loops).
Source: Rfam by way of RNAcentral